GACGAACGCUGGCGGCGUGCCUAAUACAUGCAAGUCGAACGCUGAAGGCGUAUCUUGCUUCUCUGGAUGAGUUGCGAACGGGUGAGUAACGCGUAGGUAACCUGCCUGGUAGCUGGGGAUAACUAUUGGAAACGAUAUCUAAUACCUCAUAAUAGUAGAUGUUGCAUGACAUUUUCUUAAAAGGUGCAUUUUCAUCACUACCAGAUGGACCUGCGUUGUUUUGGCUGGUUGGUGGUGGGACGGCUCACCAAGGCGACGAUACAUAUCCGAACUGUGAGGGGGGUCGGCAAAAAUGGGAAUGGGACAAGGCCAAGAAGCAUAAGGGAGGGAGCAGUAGGGAAUGGUCGGCAAAGGACGGAAGUCUGACCGAAAAAGGGCGAGUGAGUGAAGAAGGUGUUCGGAUCGUAAAGAUCUGUUGUAAGAGAAGAACGAGUGUGAGAGUGGAAAGAUCACACUGUGACGGUAUCUUACGAGAAAGGAACGGCUAACUACGUG
RNAcentral lists this ribosomal RNA (495 nucleotides) under uncultured bacterium. RNAcentral describes it as "partial 16S ribosomal RNA". It matches the Rfam family "Bacterial small subunit ribosomal RNA", at positions 28 to 507 of the family's 1533-position model. The record is from RNAcentral.